This 429-nucleotide ribosomal RNA is filed under the name uncultured bacterium. RNAcentral describes it as "bacterial SSU rRNA". It matches the Rfam family "Bacterial small subunit ribosomal RNA", at positions 355 to 775 of the family's 1533-position model. The record is from RNAcentral.
UGGGGAAUUGUUCACAAUGGGCGCAAGCCUGAUGACGCAACGCCGCGUGGGGGAUGAAGGUCUUCGGAUCGUAAACCCCUGUCGAGUGGGACGAAUAACUUCCGGAUUAAUACCCCGGAGGAAUGACGGUACCGCUAAAGGAAGCCACGGCUAACUCUGUGCCAGCAGCCGCGGUAAUACAGAGGUGGCAAGCGUUGUUCGGAAUUACUGGGCGUAAAGGGCGCGUAGGCGGCCAUCUAAGUCAGACGUGAAAUCCCCCGGCUUAACCUGGGAACUGCGUCUGAUACUGGACGGCUGGAGUUUGGGAGAGGGAUGUAGAAUUCCAGGUGUAGCGGUGAAAUGCGUAGAUAUCUGGAGGAAUACCGGUGGCGAAGGCGGCAUCCUGGACCAAUACUGACGCUGAGGCGCGAAAGCUAGGGGAGCAAACGG